GGACUACUGGGGUAUCUAAUCCUGUUUGCUCCCCACGCUUUCGCGCCUCAGCGUCAGCAAUGGCCCAGCGAGCCGCCUUCGCCACCGGUGUUCUUCCUGAUCUCUACGCAUUCCACCGCUACACCAGGAAUUCCACUCGCCUCUACCAUGCUCGAGCCGAGCAGUCCCGCGUGCCGUUCCGGGGUUGAGCCCCGGGAUUUCACACGCGGCUUACCCAGCCGCCUACACGCCCUUUACGCCCAGUGAUUCCGGACAACGCUCGCACCCUCUGUAUUACCGCGGCUGCUGGCAC
RNAcentral lists this ribosomal RNA (292 nucleotides) under uncultured bacterium. RNAcentral describes it as "partial 16S ribosomal RNA". The record is from RNAcentral.